This 468-nucleotide ribosomal RNA is filed under the name uncultured bacterium. Its description in RNAcentral is "partial 16S ribosomal RNA". It matches the Rfam family "Bacterial small subunit ribosomal RNA", at positions 28 to 507 of the family's 1533-position model. The record is from RNAcentral.
GACGAACGCUGGCGGCGUGCUUAACACAUGCAAGUCGAACGGCAAGUCCCUGCUUUUUUGGUGUGCUCGAUUGGCUAUCGUGUGUGUAACACGUUUGUAUCCUUCCCUUUUCUUUGUUAUAACUUCAGGUAACUUGUUCUAAUACCCGAUAUGAUCUCCUGCUUCAUGGUUUGGGUUGGAAAGUUUCGGCUGUUGGGGUUGGACUCGCGGCUUAUCAGCUUGUUUGUGGGGUAGUGGCUUACCAAGGCUUUGACGGGUAGCCGGCCUGAGAGGGUUACCGGCAACAAUGGGACUGAGAGACGGCCCAGAAUCCAACGGGAGGCAGCAGUGGGGAAUAUGGAACAAGGGGCGGAAGCCUGAUGAAGAAACGCCGCGUGCGGGAUGACGGCCUUCGGGUUGUAAAAAGCUUUAGAAUGUGACGAAGCGUGAGUGACGGUAAUGGGUAAAGAAGCACCGGCUAACUACGUG